RNAcentral lists this ribosomal RNA (460 nucleotides) under uncultured bacterium. Its description in RNAcentral is "partial 16S ribosomal RNA". It matches the Rfam family "Bacterial small subunit ribosomal RNA", at positions 338 to 795 of the family's 1533-position model. The record is from RNAcentral.
CCUACGGGUGGCUGCAGUGAGGAAUAUUGGUCAAUGGACGAGAGUCUGAACCAGCCAAGUAGCGUGAAGGAUGACUGCCCUAUGGGUUGUAAACUUCUUUUAUAUGGGAAUAAAAUGUUCCACGUGUGGGAUUUUGUAUGUACCAUAUGAAUAAGGAUCGGCUAACUCCGUGCCAGCAGCCGCGGUAAUACGGAGGAUCCGACCGUUAUCCGGAUUUAUUGGGUUUAAAGGGAGCGUAGGUGGUUUGUUAAGUCAGUUGUGAAAGUUUGCGGCUCAACCGUAAAAUUGCAGUUGAAACUGGCAGUCUUGAGUACAGUAGAGGUGGGCGGAAUUCGUGGUGUAGCGGUGAAAUGCUUAGAUAUCACGCAGAACUCCGAUUGCGAAGGCAACUCACUGGACUGCAACUGACACUGAGGCUCGAAAGUGUGGGUAGCAAACAGGAUUAGAUACCCUUGUAGUC